RNAcentral lists this ribosomal RNA (406 nucleotides) under uncultured bacterium. Its description in RNAcentral is "partial 16S ribosomal RNA". It matches the Rfam family "Bacterial small subunit ribosomal RNA", at positions 30 to 526 of the family's 1533-position model. The record is from RNAcentral.
AUUGAACGCUGGCGGCAGGCUUAACACAUGCAAGUCGAGCGAGCGGCGGACGGGUGGGUAAUGUCUGGGAAACUGCCUGAUGGAGGGGGAUGACGACUGGAAAAGGUAGCUAAUAGCGCAUACCAUCAGAUGUGCCGAGAUGGGAUUAGCUAGUAGGUGGGGUAAUGGCUCAUCUAGGCGACGAUCCCUAGCUGGUCUGAGAGGCUGACCAGCCACACUGGAACUGAGACACGGUCCAGACUCCUACGGGAGGCAGCAGUGGGGAAUAUUGCACAAUGGGCGCAAGCCUGAUGCAGCCAUGCCGCGUGUGUGAAGAAGGCCUUCGGGUUGUAAAGCACUUUCAGCGAGGAGGCGUUACUCGCAGAAGAAGCACCGGCUAACUCCGUGCCAGCAGCCGCGGUAAUAC